GGACGAGAAGCUUGCUUCUCUGAUGUUAGCGGCGGACGGGUGAGUAACACGUGGAUAACCUACCUAUAAGACUGGGAUAACUUCGGGAAACCGGAGCUAAUACCGGAUGAUAUUUUGAACCGCAUGGUUCAAAAGUGAAAGACGGUCUUGCUGUCACUUAUAGAUGGAUCCGCGCUGCAUUAGCUAGUUGGUAAGGUAACGGCUUACCAAGGCAACGAUGCAUAGCCGACCUGAGAGGGUGAUCGGCCACACUGGAACUGAGACACGGUCCAGACUCCUACGGGAGGCAGCAGUAGGGAAUCUUCCGCAAUGGGCGAAAGCCUGACGGAGCAACGCCGCGUGAGUGAUGAAGGUCUUCGGAUCGUAAAACUCUGUUAUUAGGGAAGAACAUAUGUGUAAGUAACUGUGCACAUCUUGACGGUACCUAAUCAGAAAGCCACGGCUAACUACGUGCCAGCAGCCGCGGUAAUACGUAGGUGGCAAGCGUUAUCCGGAAUUAUUGGGCGUAAAGCGCGCGUAGGCGGUUUUUAAGUCUGAUGUGAAAGCCCAGGUUCAACCGUGGAGGGUCAUUGGAAACUGGAAAACUUGAGUGCCGAAGAGGACCGUGGACAUUCCAUGUGUACGGUGAAAUGCGCAGAGAUAUGGCGGAACACCAUGGCGA
Molecule: ribosomal RNA, 661 nt
Filed under: uncultured Staphylococcus sp.
Lineage: Bacteria; Bacillati; Bacillota; Bacilli; Caryophanales; Staphylococcaceae
Description: bacterial SSU rRNA
Rfam family: Bacterial small subunit ribosomal RNA
Source: RNAcentral